Molecule: ribosomal RNA, 468 nt
Filed under: uncultured bacterium
Lineage: Bacteria
Description: partial 16S ribosomal RNA
Rfam family: Bacterial small subunit ribosomal RNA
Source: RNAcentral
GACGAACGCUGGCGGCGUGCUUAACACAUGCAAGUCGAACGGAAAGGCCCUGCUUUUGUGGGGUGCUCGAGUGGCGAACGGGUGAGUAACACGUGAGUAACCUGCCCUUGACUUUGGGAUAACUUCAGGAAACUGGGGCUAAUACCGGAUAGGAGCUCCUGCUGCAUGGUGGGGGUUGGAAAGUUUCGGCGGUUGGGGAUGGACUCGCGGCUUAUCAGCUUGUUGGUGGGGUAGUGGCUUGCCAAGGCUUUGACGGGUAGCCGGCCUGAGAGGGUGACCGGCCACAUUGGGACUGAGGUACGGCCCAGACUCCUACGGGAGGCAGCAGUGGGGAAUAUUGCACAAUGGGCGGAAGCCUGAUGCAGCAACGCCGCGUGCGGGAUGACGGCCUUCGGGUUGUAAACCGCUUUCGCCUGUGACGAAGCGUGAGUGACGGUAAUGGGUAAAGAAGCACCGGCUAACUACGUG